Molecule: ribosomal RNA, 253 nt
Filed under: uncultured bacterium
Lineage: Bacteria
Description: partial 16S ribosomal RNA
Rfam family: Bacterial small subunit ribosomal RNA
Source: RNAcentral
UACGGAGGGUGCAAGCGUUGUUCGGAUUUACUGGGCGUAAAGGGCGCGUAGGCGGCUUGGUAAGUCGGGUGUGAAAUCCUUCCACUUAACGGAAGAAGUGCACCCGAAACUGCCUUGCUCGAGUUUAGGAGAGGAGAGCGGAAUUCCCGGUGUAGAGGUGAAAUUCGUAGAUAUCGGGAGGAACACCCGCGGCGAAAGCGGCUCUCUGGCCUAAUACUGACGCUGAGGCGCGAAAGCGUGGGGAGCAUACACG